UACAGAGGUCCCAAGCGUUGUUCGGAUUCACUGGGCGUAAAGGGCUCGUAGGUGGCCAACUAAGUCAGACGUGAAAUCCCUCGGCUUAACCGGGGAACUGCGUCUGAUACUGGAUGGCUUGAGUUUGGGAGAGGGACGCGGAAUUCCAGGUGUAGCGGUGAAAUGCGUAGAUAUCUGGAGGAACACCGGUGGCGAAGGCGGCGUCCUGGACCAACACUGACACUGAUGAGCGAAAGCCAGGGGAGCAAACGGG
This 253-nucleotide ribosomal RNA is filed under the name uncultured bacterium. Its description in RNAcentral is "partial 16S ribosomal RNA". It matches the Rfam family "Bacterial small subunit ribosomal RNA", at positions 524 to 776 of the family's 1533-position model. The record is from RNAcentral.